GGUAUUUUGACCGUGCAAAGGUAGCAUAAUCAUUAGUUUUUUAAUUGAAAGCUGGAAUGAAAGGUUGGAUGAGAAAUAAGCUGUCUCUAUUUAAUUUUAUUAGAAUUUUAUUUUUAAGUUAAAAAGCUUAAAUUUUAAUAGAAGACGAGAAGACCCUAUAGAGUUUUAUUUAUUUUUUUUAUAAGAUUAAUAGUAUUAAUUAUUUUUAUUAAAAAAAUAAAUUUAGUUGGGGUGAUUGAAAAAUUUAAUAAACUUUUUUUAUAUUUGUACAUUAAUAUAUGACUAAUUGAUCCUUAAUUUAAGAUUAAAAGAUAAAAUUACCUUAGGGAUAACAGCGUAAUUUUUUUUGAGAGUUCUAAUCGAAAGAAAAGAUUGCGACCUCGAUGUUGGAUUAAAAUAAAAUUUUGGUGUAGAAGCUAAAG
RNAcentral lists this ribosomal RNA (422 nucleotides) under Laparocerus tibialis. Its description in RNAcentral is "partial 16S ribosomal RNA". Lineage: Eukaryota; Metazoa; Arthropoda; Insecta; Coleoptera; Curculionidae. The record is from RNAcentral.